UACAGGUGGUGCAUGGUUGUCGUCAGCUCGUGUCGUGAGAUGUUGGGUUAAGUCCCGCAACGAGCGCAACCCUCGUUCUAUGUUGCCAGCACGUAAUGGUGGGGACUCAUGGAAGACUGCCGGGGUCAACUCGGAGGAAGGUGGGGAUGACGUCAAAUCAUCAUGCCCCUUAUGUCUUGGGCUUCACGCAUGCUACAAUGGCCGGUACAAUGGGCUGCGAUACCGCAAGGUGGAGCGAAUCCCAAAAAACCGGUCUCAGUUCGGAUUGGGGUCUGCAACUCGACCCCAUGAAGUCGGAGUCGCUAGUAAUCGCAGAUCAGCAACGCUGCGGUGAAUACGUUCCCGGGCCUUGUACACACCGCCCGUCAAGUCACGAAAGUCGGUAACACCCGAAGCCGGUGGCCCAACCCUUGUGGGGGGAGCCGUCGAAGGUGGACUGGCGAUUGGGAC
Molecule: ribosomal RNA, 450 nt
Filed under: Streptomyces flavovariabilis
Lineage: Bacteria; Bacillati; Actinomycetota; Actinomycetes; Kitasatosporales; Streptomycetaceae
Description: bacterial SSU rRNA
Rfam family: Bacterial small subunit ribosomal RNA
Source: RNAcentral